GGUCAACUCUUCUGGAAAAGGUGGAUUGUACGGGACCAGUCUAUAGCCCAGCUCUAAGAGGAGGAUGGAUGGAUAUGGAACCCAGAUGGAGUGACAGUUGCAGGCGGCUGCCCAACACUUGUACUCUUAAAAAGGGAAAACAAUGCAAAGAGAGGAUGUCCCCGGAGGGAGAUCAUGCCCUGACCCAGCUGCUCACACAUGCAAGACAGAUUUUUUUCAAGCACAGGACCCGGUUGGGAACUUGACUGCCAUUUGUGCCCUUGAAAACACCCCUCUUUGCCUUUUAGUGAUUAGAAUCAUCAAAUUAUCAGAAAACAUAGAUUGGAAAGGAUAUCUGGAGAUCGUCUGGUCCAACCUCAUGCUGAAAGCAGAUCUGACUUCACUUCAUGAGGUUGCCCAAGGUCUUGUUUGGUGAAGCUUUACGUCUCUCCGAGAAUGAGCAUGCUGCAGCCUCUCUGGACAACCUAUCUCUGUGCUCAACUGCCCCCAUGAAAAGAAUCCUCUUCCUUCCUUCUGAGAGACAGUGAGAAAGAAGCUCCUGUAUCUCAUGGGGAUGAUGACAACCACUCCCCUCUGUCAACUCCUCUCUUUCGCCAUUUGAUUUCACAAGAAGAAUCGGGUCAGUGCCCUGAAUGGCUGUCUGGUUUCUGUAGGACCUGCUGGAAGUGGCUCAGAAGAGCACAGUCAUGCUAAGCCAGCUGUCCUGCAGGGAGAGCUGUGCCACUGGGAGGCAUGACCUCACUGAGGGCUGCUGCGAGACAUGGAUCUGCAUCCUAUUUUGCUUCUUUGGCAAGGUCAUGUUCCAGUGUGAGACAGAGCCAGCCUUGGCAGAAUUGCCAACAUCCAAAGGCCAGUGGCUCAACUGGUGUAAAUCAGCACUCAGUCUCUCUGCUUGUGCCCACUAGAAACCACAGAUCUGGGCUGUUGUGGACCUCCUUCUUUUCUGAAAUGGUCCCGAAUUUUAAGGCUGGAAUUUUGCUCAGUGGAAUAGAUGAUAGAGCAUUCUUUUAAUUCUAGGUGUGAGGCCGUGGUACAGCUUGCCUGAGGUGGCACAGCAGGGGGACAAGUCAAGAUCAUGCUCAAGGUGUCCUCGCCGCAUGCUGCACUGCUGCUGCAUUGCUCCCUCACAUGGACAUUUCCCAGAAGCCUGUGCAGGUUGGUCACGUUAAGGGAUAUGAAGAGGAUGUAUUGACUUUUUAAUGAAUUUCAAGUUCCACAAAUGGGAGCCUUUCAGGAUCAAAAUAUUAGGGCCAUUUCUGCUGCUGGUCCAUGCUCACACUCAGCACUUCAGCUGGCAGCUGCCUGCAGGCACCAGAGGAUGCCCAAGCAUCUGUCUUUCACUGAAAUGGAGGAUACUUUUUCAGAGGGUGAGAGGACACUUCAUUCCCUGCAUGCCUGGGAGAAAGAUUUGUCUUCCCCUGGGGAGGAGAAGCCUCUGGAGGCACCUGCCUCUUGUUGCCUUGACUCACAGUACACAUUGUCAUCCUGAAGGAGAAAUUCCUUCCAGGGCUUUGAGGCCACGUGGGUUGCCCCCCAGCGCCAGCGCAGUGCUGCUCCUCCUGCUUCACUGGAUACUUCCCUGGACUCAGAGAUGAUAUUUUCACAUGGCCACUGUAGCAGCCUUUCCACAUGUGCCACUGGAGAGGAUGCUUCACAGUCCCCAGGAUCAUCUCCUUGUGAUACAGGACGAACGACUCAGCCAGCAGCAACCACCUUCUUCCAAGGAAAAACGCAAAAAAGCCACUGCAGAGUACAGGGGACAGAGUAAGACAGCACUCAGUGUCACUGGGAAAAGUGUGGGAAAGGAAGAGCCCCUUAUGGUAUGGAGGUAGGAUGUAUGGAGACCAUUGCCAGCGAACUCUUCCCCCACAGCAAUGCCUUGCAAGUGUCGUGGUCAUCUGCAAGUGACAACAGAGACACAUCUUGCUCUCAACUGCAUCUCAUCACAUCGCAUCAGCGUGUAACUGCACUCAUAGAGUCUCCCACAUCCAAAGAGAACUGGCUCUGCACUGAAAAUGUCCCCUGUUACACCCACAGGAACUCUGGAUGCAGGAAAUACUCUGUCAAAAUGGAAUGGUCCAGGUUAUGGCUUGAUUGAACGAUUUAUCAUUUUUGAAAGGCAUGACAGCUGGUGUGAACUUUUGUAUCAGGUAUCAGCGUUCCCCACUCCAAAUACUUCCAUGUGACUGGCUUUGGUUAAAGAAGGCACUCUUGCUGAAUUUAAUUAGCUGGAAACACAAUUUAAGGGCAGAAACCAUCCCUUCUUGUUACCAAGGAAGAUGGCCUGGAGCGUUGCUCUGUGCCCAAGAGUCUCCCUAGCACAGCUUUCUGGCUGAGAAAACAAUGUGCUACAUCCAGGAAAAAUAUGAAGGCUAUAUCCGUGCCUAGAAACUGUCACACUGGUAUCUUUAUAAAUUGUACUGAUGUAAAAACAAAGUGCCUUAAUUUAAUUACUUGUGUUUUCCUUGGUUAGUGUAAGACAAGUUCGGGGAGGGGGGGUAUCUGAGGACCUUUUUCCUAUCAAACUAUCUUGAAAGGCCGAGGCCUCUAAGCAGACCCUGUCUGCUCUGCAGAGAUAUAGACACACACUUUUUGAGCAGACCCAUGCCCCAAGCGUGUGAGGGCAGUGCAUCCCCCUGCCACAAAUCUGCAGGGAAAGAGGGAGAGAGAGCUUCCCCUGGCUUGAUGCUGCUCCAUGGGCUGGUGUGGUGGCAGGAGCAUAGGGUUCCCUGCACCACACAGCUGAGAGGCUGCUGUGCCCUUGCGAGGAGGUAGAUGAGGCUUUAGUAAGAGGGUAAUAAUGGUUUCUAACCCUUCUGCUGGUCACGCAGAGGAAGAAGACUCUUUGCAGCCAUAUAUCUUAGUAGAAGGUGCACCAAGUAUGGAAACGCAUCUUGAAGGAAAACAGGUGCUUUCAUUUGGCAUUUCUGAAAAAAAUAAAUGGAUGCUGACAAUCCAUCCCCUUCAAUCCAUCCCAUUUUACUGUCUGCAAGCAGCGCCUGGUCUGGAGACCUGGUGAACAGCUUGCUAAGAGCUUGUUGAUCAAACCAGGUUAGUUGUGAUCAGCCACGUGGCAUAUUCCCAUGGCCAUGAAGUAAAAACCCUCCACUCUCCUCAAAUAGUCCCUAAAACUCUCUUCCAAUUUGCAGUCUUAGCUUGCUACAAGUAUGUCCACUAUGUUUGUAAGGCAAAGGGAACAGGAAAGGGAUGCAAAGGCUGCAAAAAUUAUCUUCCAUCUCUUUUUUAGAGGUGAUGAGACAAGAGCCUGCAAAGUUUGGGAGAGCUAAUGCUACUGGUGCACUUGGGUGGGAGACAUCUGCGGUGAAGGUAUGUAUGAACUAAAAGCCACAGUAAAAUGUGUCUGGUGAGGUUCUAGCAUGAGCAUGUUGAGGAAGAUGUAGGACAGAUCCCCAUUAUCAUACUGAGCAUCUGGGAACUACGAGUCACUCUUAAGAGAACACACCAAAAAUAGUAAUAUAUGUCCAGGGUGGCAGGCACUGGACCGCCAGACAGAGCUGAAUCAAAUGGCUGGAGAUAACUGGACAAGAAAACAAAUGGCUGGAAAGAUAGCCAUCAAAUUCCUCUUAGUCCUUUCUCUGACACUUUGUUCUCUCUGCAAAAUGUUGACAAAGUUCCUUAAGACAGAAAGAGACUAGAAAUGGAAAAAGUAAGUGGCUAGGCCAUGGUUAUGGCUUAUUUUCUUUCCCCAACAGGGGAGUAUUGUAUAACAGAAUUUUGUUCAAGUAUCAGUUUUAUUCUUAAAAUAGUUAUUAUUCUUCAUACU
Molecule: long non-coding RNA, 3784 nt
Organism: Calidris pugnax (ruff)
Lineage: Eukaryota; Metazoa; Chordata; Aves; Charadriiformes; Scolopacidae
Exons: 9
Source: RefSeq, a predicted model, not a curated record